CGUGAGCGAAUGAAGGUCUUCGGAUCUGGUAAAGCUGCUGUUGUCAGGGAAGAACAAGUGCCGUUCGAACAGGGCGGUACCUUGACGGUACCUGACGAGGAAGCCACGGCUAACUACGUGCCAGCAGCCGCGGUAAUACGUAGGUGGCAAGCGUUGUCCGGAAUUAUUGGGCGUAAAGCGCGCGCAGGCGGUUCCUUAAGUCUGAUGUGAAAUCUCGCGGCUCAACCGCGAGCGGCCAUUGGAAACUGGGGAACUUGAGUGCAGGAAAGGGGAGCGGAAUUCCACGUGUAGCGGUGAAAUGCGUAAAGAUGUGGAGGAACACCAGUGGCGAAGGCGGCUCUCUGGCCUGUAACUGACGCUGAGGCGCGAAAGCGUGGGGAGCGAACAGGAUUAGAUACCCUGGUAGUCCACGCCGUAAACGAUGAGUGCUAAGUGUUAGAGGGUAUCCACCCUUUAGUGCUGCAGCAAACGCAUUAAGCACUCCGCCUGGGGAGUACGGCCGCAAGGCUGAAACUC
This 516-nucleotide ribosomal RNA is filed under the name uncultured bacterium. RNAcentral's name for it is "bacterial SSU rRNA". It matches the Rfam family "Bacterial small subunit ribosomal RNA", at positions 400 to 902 of the family's 1533-position model. The record is from RNAcentral.